This 2323-nucleotide long non-coding RNA is filed under the name Gossypium barbadense (sea-island cotton). Its description in RNAcentral is "long non-coding RNA (GBAR_LNC009807)". Lineage: Eukaryota; Viridiplantae; Streptophyta; Magnoliopsida; Malvales; Malvaceae. The record is from RNAcentral.
GUGGGACAUUGCCUGAAUUUGUAUUUCAAGGUGGGACAAGAUUGCCUGAAGGAGUGGAAUUUGAAAUGCAUACAUUGCCAGUGAGGAUAUUAAAUGCCAUUUCAAUAUUGUUCAAGGGAGAUUGCUCUCUGGACCAGUCUUGAAUCCUCAACGGUGAAGGUAUUGUACUCGAGAUGUCUAUUAUUGAUUAUCCUCAAGUUUUAUUUUCUGUAAUUCGAGAAGAAACAAAAGAGAUUCACAAAGUUUAGGAAGUGUCUCGCCACCAAAGAAAUGUUUAGCAUUUAGCCACCAAAGCCAAAUGCUAAGCAUUUCCUUGGUGGGGAGAUGCUCCUAAGUUCUGUGAACUUUUGGGGCGCUUCAGACUACAAGAAACAAAAACCCGGGGAUAAUCGAUAAUAGACAUUUUGAGUAUAAUACCUCAUCCGUUGAGGUCCGAAACCGGCCUAAAGAGCAACCUCCCCCUCAACAAGUAUACAUAUUGGAUUUAAUAAUUUUGAUGCUGUAAACUUCUUUAACUUAAUCAGGUAGAUGGGAAUACAGUACCAGAUGGGGAUGGUUUAAAUGUGUAUGUGAAUACUGAUGAUCCUAGGGAGUCGCCGAACAUACCUAGAGCCGUUCUUAUGGCUGUGGUUCGAAGAUCAAAAGCACGUGCUAAGAAAAACUAUGCCAGAGCUGAUGAACUUCGCCAGAAGAUUAUUGAAUCAGGAUACCAGUUAGCAACAUUCAACUUGUCAAAUUUUUAGUACUUCUGUGAUUCGAGAUUGUUAAUUGUUGUUUGUCUGCAGGGUCAUAGACCUUCAAAACGAAGAGAUUCUUGCUCGAAAGUAUCGGAUUCGACUGAGGUAACAUUAUCUGUUUGAAGGACUUUUAUGUUAUAUAUUGUAACUUGUUGAAAGCAUAUAAACAGGGGUAUAGAUGCACCUGAGAUGUCGAUGCCGUUUGGAAAAGAAGCAAAAGAAGAGUUGGUUAAGCUUGUUCAUGGGAAAUGUUUGAGAGUGCUUGUCUACGGGGAAGAUCAAUAUGGUCGUUGUGUUGCAGACAUAUAUUGCAAUGGCAUUUUCGUGCAGGUAGAUACCCUUUUUGUAAGCUUCAAUUCGGUUUACCCGAUAAGAACGAAUUAAUCCGCAAAUCUGUUACUUGAACAGGAAGUAAUGCUAAAGAAAGGACUCGCAUGGCAUUAUGUAGCCUGCGACCAACGGGUUGAAUUCGCAACUGUAAGUAAACAACAAUCCUGUAUGUUCUUGCACAUCAUUGAGUUAAAACUUGUGACUAUUGUCUUUGUAUGUAUGUAAUAUCAGUGGCAAAAAGAGGCUCGGACAAAGAAAACCGGCCUUUGGGUACAAUCAAACCCAGAGAAGCCAUGGGAAUGGAGGAAGAAGAACAAACGAGAAGGUAGGUAACACUGUCCUUAAGGAUCCAUAACAUCUUGAGAAGUGAUAAAAGUACACAGUUAUCAUAUUUGUGUAAAGAACCAUGUUUGAUCCAUUCCUAUGGCCUUCCUCAUCCUUCUAUUUUAGCGGAAAUUUCUACUGGUGUCCCGACAAGAUUGCCUGAAUUUGUAUUUCAAGGUGGGACAUUGCCUGAAUUUGUAUUUCAAGGUGGGACAAGAUUGCCUGAAGGAGUGGAAUUUGAAAUGCAUACAUUGCCAGUGAGGAUAUUAAAUGCCAUUUCAAUAUUGUUCAAGGGAGAUUGCUCUCUGGACCAGUCUUGAAUCCUCAACGGUGAAGGUAUUGUACUCGAGAUGUCUAUUAUUGAUUAUCCUCAAGUUUUAUUUUCUGUAAUUCGAGAAGAAACAAAAGAGAUUCACAAAGUUUAGGAAGUGUCUCGCCACCAAAGAAAUGUUUAGCAUUUAGCCACCAAAGCCAAAUGCUAAGCAUUUCCUUGGUGGGGAGAUGCUCCUAAGUUCUGUGAACUUUUGGGGCGCUUCAGACUACAAGAAACAAAAACCCGGGGAUAAUCGAUAAUAGACAUUUUGAGUAUAAUACCUCAUCCGUUGAGGUCCGAAACCGGCCUAAAGAGCAACCUCCCCCUCAACAAGUAUACAUAUUGGAUUUAAUAAUUUUGAUGCUGUAAACUUCUUUAACUUAAUCAGGUAGAUGGGAAUACAGUACCAGAUGGGGAUGGUUUAAAUGUGUAUGUGAAUACUGAUGAUCCUAGGGAGUCGCCGAACAUACCUAGAGCCGUUCUUAUGGCUGUGGUUCGAAGAUCAAAAGCACGUGCUAAGAAAAACUAUGCCAGAGCUGAUGAACUUCGCCAGAAGAUUAUUGAAUCAGGAUACCAGUUAGCAACAUUCAACUUGUCAAAUUUUUAGUACUUCUGUGAU